GGGCCCGCACAAGCGGUGGAGUAUGUGGUUUAAUUCGACGCUACGCGAAGAACCUUACCGGGGCUUGACAUCCUUCGCAAUCUGUUGAAAGACAGAGUUCCCGCAAGGGACGAAGAGACAGGUGGUGCAUGGCUGUCGUCAGCUCGUGUCGUGAGAUGUUGGGUUAAGUCCCGCAACGAGCGCAACCCUUGUUCUUAGUUGCCAGCACGUAGAGGUGGGCACUCUAAGGAGACUGCCGGUGACAAACCGGAGGAAGGUGGGGAUGACGUCAAGUCAUCAUGCCCCUUAUGUUCCGGGCUACACACGUACUACAAUGGUCUGUACAGAGGGUAGCGAAGCCGUGAGGUGGAGCCAAUCCCAGAAAGCAGAUCUCAGUUCGGAUUGCAGGCUGCAACCCGCCUGCAUGAAGUUGGAAUCGCUAGUAAUCGCAGGUCAGCAUACUGCGGUGAAUACGUUCCCGGGCCUU
Molecule: ribosomal RNA, 466 nt
Filed under: uncultured bacterium
Lineage: Bacteria
Description: bacterial SSU rRNA
Rfam family: Bacterial small subunit ribosomal RNA
Source: RNAcentral